RNAcentral lists this transfer RNA (64 nucleotides) under Goniodes ortygis. RNAcentral describes it as "tRNA-Ile". Lineage: Eukaryota; Metazoa; Arthropoda; Insecta; Psocodea; Philopteridae. The record is from RNAcentral.
AGUGAAGUGCCUGAUAAAAGGGUUACUUUGAUAGAGUAUAAAUAGGAACUAUUCCUCUUCACUA